GAAAAAGUACGCAAGAACUGCUAAUUCAUGCGUCCAUGCAUAAAACCAUGGCUUUUUCA
RNAcentral lists this transfer RNA (59 nucleotides) under Ursus arctos (brown bear). RNAcentral's name for it is "tRNA-Ser". The record is from RNAcentral. RNAcentral also lists the same sequence under 1 other name. Lineage: Eukaryota; Metazoa; Chordata; Mammalia; Carnivora; Ursidae.